Magallana angulata is the source of this 1295-nucleotide long non-coding RNA. RefSeq lists it as uncharacterized. The transcript is spliced from 5 exons. Lineage: Eukaryota; Metazoa; Mollusca; Bivalvia; Ostreida; Ostreidae. The record is from RefSeq and is a predicted model, not a curated record.
UCCCUUUAGAUCCGCGCAUGUUAUACAUGCUUGUAAAUGGUUUAAACUUUACAUGUAUUAAAGAAUGGAUGUAUAACUAAAUAUGAAUUAACUGAAGCCAUGUACUCUCUUUAUAUAUUGAUUUAAUAAGAAAUCCGGAUUUAAUCCGGAAUUGGCUUUACUUUUGUCGUUCACAAAUAUACGUCACAUUUUUACGUCAUGGAAGCAGAAGAUCAAGCUGCAGGGCGAAUUAGCUAAAGGUAAGUGUUUUCAUUUACUUGCAUUUUAAAAUUGUAUCAUACAAUGGGCGGUGGUAAUAGAGGGAACAUACCGAAAAAAUUCGGGUUGAAAGACGAUAAACGAUCGACGGACAUCAUUGUGCUUAAAAAAAGAACUACUGGAGUGCAACCAGUAUUGCUUUAUGUUGAUAAAAGAAUUAAAAGUUUAACGUUAGCUAUAGUAAAUGAAAUAAAAGUGAGUUAAAUACAGUAGUAGAAUCGCACAUUUAUAGAAUAUUUCAGAAAACGAACGGCCGGUUACCCAGUUAUUUAUAGGUCUUUCAACGUGCUCAAUACUGAAAAUAAUUUUCCCGAAAAAUCUCAACUCGGCAGCUAACGGAUUUCAGUUGAAUUAGGCUAAUCAAUUCCUAUGGGGAGCAUAAAAUAUUUGUUGAUCUAAAGAUAUAUUAAAAUAUAAAAAGUUGAAAAGUGAAAGUAGCAAAAGAACUAGAACAAAGCCUGUUGCAAAGCAACAAGUAGGUCUUGACUUCCAUUUGCAGCUAAGGGAACAAAAAAGUCGUCUGAAUUAAGUUAUAGUCUUAUAAAAUACUAAUUGAAUCAUUUUUUAAAAAGUUUAUAGGAAUGCAUCAAUGAAACGAAUGUAGGAUAUCAACUUUAACUCAGUGACAGAUGUGUCUCUAAAUUUAUAAAAUGUAUGGGAUAGGAUAGGAUAGGAUAGAGCUUAUUUUCAGGAUAGGAUGCAGAAUACAGGAUAUAGGGAAGGAUAAGCAAAUGGAUGUCAUUUAAGAUUUGUCUGGAGGAAGUCUGAAGACAUUCAGAAGAACAAUCUAGGAUCAAGACUUGAGUUCAAAGAUAGCAGAAUAAGCUGCACUGUGGUUGCAAUAAUUGUGAAAAAUAAUGAAAGAAGUCCAAACAUGCCUCUUUAAGGAAAAACAUUGAAAAGUUGGAGUUGGGCAGAAAUCUGGCAGCGAGGCUGAAUAUACUCAUCAGAGAAACUGGAAAUUUUGAAGACGAUUUUUAAGACUGAUAUUGAAGACUGAUUUUGUAUUGGAGCUGAUUGAAAUUAAAUUGAAUGUG